GCAGUAGCCGCGGGAAUACGUAGGGUGCGAGCGUUAAUCGGAAUUACUGGGCGUAAAGCGUGCGCAGGCGGUUCGUUAAGACAGAUGUGAAAUCCCCGGGCUUAACCUGGGAACUGCAUUUGUGACUGACGGGCUAGAGUAUGGCAGAGGGGGGUAGAAUUCCACGUGUAGCAGUGAAAUGCGUAGAGAUGUGGAGGAAUACCGAUGGCGAAGGCAGCCCCCUGGGCCAAUACUGACGCUCAUGCACGAAAGCGUGGGGAGCAAACAGGAUUAGAUACCCGGGUAGUCCCUGUCUCUUAUAA
This 302-nucleotide ribosomal RNA is filed under the name uncultured bacterium. RNAcentral describes it as "partial 16S ribosomal RNA". It matches the Rfam family "Bacterial small subunit ribosomal RNA", at positions 508 to 809 of the family's 1533-position model. The record is from RNAcentral.